RNAcentral lists this ribosomal RNA (503 nucleotides) under uncultured bacterium. Its description in RNAcentral is "partial 16S ribosomal RNA". It matches the Rfam family "Bacterial small subunit ribosomal RNA", at positions 30 to 523 of the family's 1533-position model. The record is from RNAcentral.
AUUGAACGCUGGCGGCAGGCUUAACACAUGCAAGUCGAGCGGGGUGAUGGUGCUUGCACUAUCACUUAGCGGCGGACGGGUGAGUAAUGCUUAGGAAUCUGCCGAUUAGUGGGGGACAACAUCUCGAAAGGGAUGCUAAUACCGCAUACGUCCUACGGGAGAAAGCAGGGGAUCACUUGUGACCUUGAGCUAAUAGAUGAGCCUAAGUCGGAUUAGCUAGUUGGUGGGGUAAAGGCCUACCAAGGCGACGAUCUGUAGCGGGUCUGCGAGGAUGAUCCUGCACGCUGGGACUGAGACACUGCCCAGACUCCUACGGGAGGCAGCAGUGGGGAAUAUUGGAGAAUGGGGUGAACCCUGAUCCAGCCAUGCCGCGUGUGUGAAGAAGGCCUUAUGGUUGUAAAGCACUUUAAGCGAGGAGGAGGCUCUUUUGGUUAAUACCCAAGAUGAGUGGACGUUACUCGCAGAAUAAGCACCGGCUAACUCUGUGCCAGCCGCCGCAGUAA